AUUCCACAUGCAAUCGACGCUACGGGGCUGCACUUGGGUGUUUACAACUGAUAUCCAUGGUUCCUCCCAACCCUGUGUUCAUUUUGAAACCUUAGAGUUAAACGGUAUAACAUGAACUCAAGGUCUGGCCUGGAUGUUCUUGCUUACUUUGGGAUUAUUUAUAGUCUUUACGUAGCUGGACAACAGUAAAAACAUUCAUAACACAGCGUUGCCUAGAACAGUUAAUUGUGUGGGAUUUUUGGUUACCAUCCCUCUGAACACAUUACAGGCUCCUACAGUACUGUAUUAAUAGCAGCAGAGCAAUCUUUCCAAUGAAGAGAAAAGAAUGGUUUCAACCAAAUAAGGAUAUGCCAUGUGCAAACAAAACAUAGUUCAUAACCCAGAGGCCAGGCUUCACAAAUCUAGGUCCUCUUACUGCUUAUUGAAAGAGGCUUCUGAAUCAACCUUUUCCCCCCUAUACACCAUUUUUUUAUUUUGUUUUUUUAAUCCUUUACCUUUUUAUACCCAAAAACAAACCUUAACAAGAAAUGCACCUGAUUUGUCAUAGUAUAAGACAUGUGCACACUAGGGCUGUUCGAUAUAACGAUAUAUAUCGGAUGACGAUAUAAAAACAUCUAUUGUUUCAUUUUACGCUAUCGUUUGUUUCGUGGUGUCGCAAAAUAAACUGUUUACGACACUAUUUUUUCAUUGUUCUGAUGGUCACUGUAGUGGCUAUAUUAAUUUCUUAAAGUUCUCUCUUUCUCUUAUAUUUUAUAUACCCACACUACUGACGGACAAGCGCCUGUUUUUAUGCGUUGUCUUUAGCAACAGCGAGGGUAACACCUUCGCGUGUCCGCUUGUUUAUGUUCCACAUAAACCUUUCACAAUAAAGCUCAGGAUCCUGUUGAGACUUUUCAAAAUAAACUGAAUCACGUGAAAGAGCAGAUUAUUUACGGAUGAGAAGUUAAAAAAAAAAAAAAAAGAGCCGCCAGGUGCUAAAAAAAUAAACCUUAGACUCAAACGUUAGAACAGGCUUUUCCCCGCAGCACGCCGUGUAAUAAAUACUCACAAAGAAAACGGCGGCCGUUACAACUUAUGUCUAAAAAUGUAUAGUUUCAUGCAUCGGUUAAAACAAUCGACUCCGGGUAAAGGACGCGCAGCUGGAAACACUUCACGCAUGUGUAGAGGCAGAGAUAUUGCAGUUCAUGACAUCACAGUGCAAAAUUAGGAGGAGUUGGUAGUUUCUGUGUGGGAGCUCGCUGCUCAUCGCCACAGUAACAAUAAACAUUACGCAGGUGAACCCAAAGGAAAUGAGAAACGCCCUCUUAAAACUCUAAAAGCCAACAUGACAAAUUCCUUCCAUCCCCCCCAUCACAGCCACUGGACACAAACACACACACAAAGUCAGCACCCAGUGAGAGAAUGAGGUUCACCUCUUCAGGCAUGGUAUACAG
Long non-coding RNA from Astatotilapia calliptera (eastern happy), 1433 nucleotides. The record is from Ensembl. NCBI's taxonomy places the organism in Eukaryota, Metazoa, Chordata, Actinopteri, Cichliformes, Cichlidae.